GACGAACGCUGGCGGCGUGCUUAACACAUGCAAGUCGAACGGAAAGGCCUUUUCGGCGGUACUCGAGUGGCGAACGGGUGGGUAACACGUGGGUGAUCUGCCCUGCACUCUGGGAUAAGCCUGGGAAACUGGGUCUAAUACCGGAUAGGACCGCACUUUAGUGUGUGUGGUGGAAAGUUUUUUCGGUGUAGGAUGAGCCCGCGGCCUAUCAGCUUGUUGGUGGGGUAAUGGCCUACCAAGGCGGCGACGGGUAGCCGGACUGAGAGGUUGGUCGGCCACAUUGGGACUGAGAUACGGCCCAGACUCCUACGGGAGGCAGCAGUGGGGAAUAUUGCACAAUGGGCGCAAGCCUGAUGCAGCGACGCCGCGUGGGGGAUGACGGCCUUCGGGUUGUAAACUCCUUUCGCCAGGGACGAAGCGUUUUGUGACGGUACCUGGAGAAGAAGCACCGGCUAACUACGUG
RNAcentral lists this ribosomal RNA (463 nucleotides) under uncultured bacterium. RNAcentral's name for it is "partial 16S ribosomal RNA". It matches the Rfam family "Bacterial small subunit ribosomal RNA", at positions 28 to 507 of the family's 1533-position model. The record is from RNAcentral.